AUACAAGUCACUUAGGAAUCUUAGAAAAAUGCAGAUUCUGAUUCAGUGAGUCUCAGGUGAGGUUUAAGAGGCUACAUUCCUAACAAGAUACCAGCUGAUGCUGAC
Molecule: microRNA precursor, 105 nt
Filed under: Marmota monax (woodchuck)
Lineage: Eukaryota; Metazoa; Chordata; Mammalia; Rodentia; Sciuridae
Source: RNAcentral